Cynoglossus semilaevis (tongue sole) is the source of this 1130-nucleotide long non-coding RNA. RefSeq lists it as uncharacterized. The transcript is spliced from 3 exons. NCBI's taxonomy places the organism in Eukaryota, Metazoa, Chordata, Actinopteri, Pleuronectiformes, Cynoglossidae. The record is from RefSeq and is a predicted model, not a curated record.
UUGGCUCUGGUUCCGGUUCUGGGCCAGAUGGAUAUCAGUGAUCCUCCCACUUUAUUAAUAAACCAGUGGCAUCAAAGGUGUUGACUGUUCACUCAUCAACUCUCACUCUCAGCCUUUUCAUCUCUGUUAAUGUCUGUGCUUGUCGGAGACAUGAGCGGGAUUCGUUCCAGUCCCCGCACACAGUACCUGCCGUACAACACUGGGAGGGAAGGAGGUUUGAUAACGGUUUGAAAAAUGUAAGAAUCUAAGAAAAACACGUAUAGAUUAAGUUGUUCCUGAUUUGACCACCGCAGCAGAGUGGCGCAGCGGAAGCGUGCUGGGCCCAUAACCCAGAGGUCGAUGGAUCGAAACCAUCCUCUGCUAACUGUUUUUGAACAUCCUCAGCCGGAGCAGAAGAGCGCGUUUCUGUAUGUGGUGCAGGUGUGUGAUCUGCCACUAGGGGGUGCACGGGAUAAGAACCAAAAACAACAAUACCGUCUAAAUAAAGCAAGUUUUUUAAAUUGACAUGUUAAUUGAAUAAAUAUUUUGAAGUCUGAUUCAACUGCCUUUAUAAGAAAGCGUAUUGCUGAUCUGAGGCAGGUGAUUGGUUCCUAAUCCUCCCUAAUCUGAUCCUGAUAUUCCCUGGUCUGGAUUGCUCCUCCCAGUCAAUCAGGUGACUCACCUGCUCACCUGUGUCACUCUGUCGGACUGUGUACUGGUUUGAGUCAGACGUGAUGGUCCGUUACUGGAGCCUCAGUCACUAUGUUGGACCACCUUAUGUAUCAGAUCAGAACCUUCCUUGAAUCCUUGAAUCCUUGAAGGACUUUGGAGAAUAUGGACAUCGUCCUGUUGUGAAUCACCAGACGAAACCAAACGGCUUCAGAGGAUCAACAGAUGCAGUUCCUGAUCCAACCAGAAGCUCCAGUUUGACAGCGUCGACGCUCGGCGUGUGGACGGCGCCCACACACGCUGCUGGUUCCAUUAAAGAACGUGACGAAACGAACUCUGGGAUCAUUAGCAGCGACCGCCCUCCGUGUAAAGCUGCCUGUGACCUUCUGUCGUUGGUGGAACAAACGUUAAUCAGAGAGGAUUUUUGGGACGGCCUUGAAUCAAUCUUGGUGAUCGACCUCAUGUGUAUAAAAUAUAUUUUA